GAUACGGGGUAGGAAAGGUUGGUGGUGUUUUGAUAUGGCUCUAUUAACGGUAUUCGGGAAGGUGGGAACCAAUCUAAGAUGAGGCGAGUCAUGUAGGCAUCUUUGUAUUUUGCCUUCAGAUUUUAGGUUCACCUAAGCCUCAUUCGGUCAAUUGGCCCUUGUUCCGAUUCGAUCCGUCAAUGAAACAAGAGGUGAAUUUUCUACCCUUUUUUACUUAAUAAAAACUCAUAUAGAUGGUUCAUGAUUUUGCUUCCAUGUGGGUUUUGCUCUACUAUUUAAUCUUAGUGCAUUUCCUUUCCUAACUAUUUAUAUAUAUAUAUAUAUGUGUGUGUGUGUGUCAUAGUCAUAGUCAUAGUCAUGCUAGUGACAUUUAGUAGUUUAUAUAUCUACUCUAUACCAUUCAUUAAUUGAUAAUUUAUAACUGAAUUUUCA
This 432-nucleotide long non-coding RNA is filed under the name Phoenix dactylifera (date palm). RNAcentral's name for it is "long non-coding RNA (PDAC_LNC003544)". Lineage: Eukaryota; Viridiplantae; Streptophyta; Magnoliopsida; Arecales; Arecaceae. The record is from RNAcentral.